This 301-nucleotide ribosomal RNA is filed under the name uncultured bacterium. RNAcentral's name for it is "partial 16S ribosomal RNA". It matches the Rfam family "Bacterial small subunit ribosomal RNA", at positions 509 to 807 of the family's 1533-position model. The record is from RNAcentral.
CAGUAGCCACGGUAAUACGUAGGUGGCAAGCGUUGUCCGGAAUUAUUGGGCGUAAAGGGCUCGCAGGCGGUUUCUUAAGUCUGAUGUGAAAGCCCCCGGCUCAACCGGGGAGGGUCAUUGGAAACUGGGAAACUUGAGUGCAGAAGAGGAGAGUGGAAUUCCACGUGUAGCGGUGAAAUGCGUAGAGAUGUGGAGGAACACCAGCGGCGAAGGCGACUCUCUGGUCUGUAACUGACGCUGAGGAGCGAAAGCGUGGGGAGCGAACAGGAUUAGAGACCCGCGUAGUCCCUGUCUCUUAUAC